Molecule: ribosomal RNA, 251 nt
Filed under: uncultured bacterium
Lineage: Bacteria
Description: partial 16S ribosomal RNA
Rfam family: Bacterial small subunit ribosomal RNA
Source: RNAcentral
GACGGGGGGGGCAAGUGUUCUUCGGAAUGACUGGGCGUAAAGGGCACGUAGGCGGUGAAUCGGGUUGAAAGUGAAAGUCGCCAAAAAGUGGCGGAAUGCUCUCGAAACCAAUUCACUUGAGUGAGACAGAGGAGAGUGGAAUUCCCGGUGUAGCGGUGAAAUGCGCAGAUAUCGGGAAGAACACCUAUGGCGAAGGCAGCUCUCUGGGACGGUACUGACGCUGAGACGCGAAAGCGUGGGGAGCGAACAGG